RNAcentral lists this transfer RNA (73 nucleotides) under Anguilla anguilla (European eel). Its description in RNAcentral is "tRNA-OTHER". The record is from RNAcentral. Lineage: Eukaryota; Metazoa; Chordata; Actinopteri; Anguilliformes; Anguillidae.
CCGUCUGUGGCUCAGUGGUUAAUGUCACAGUCUAUGGAUCAGGAAGUCGCAGGUUCAAGCACUGCUGGAAGCA